GACGAACGCUGGCGGCGUGCUUAACACAUGCAAGUCGAACGGUGACCCAGGGCUUGCCCUGGUGAUCAGUGGCGAACGGUGAGUAACACGUGGACAACCUGCCCCUGACUUCGGGAUAACUCCUCGAAAGAGGGGCUAAUACCGGAUACGAACACUUCGGACAUCCGAUGGUGGUGGAAAGUUUUUCGGUCAGGGAUGGGCCCGCGGCCUAUCAGCUAGUUGGUGGGGUAAUGGCCUACCAAGGCGACGACGGGUAGCCGGCCUGAGAGGGCGACCGGCCACACUGGGACUGAGACACGGCCCAGACUCCUACGGGAGGCAGCAGUGGGGAAUAUUGCGCAAUGGGCGAAAGCCUGACGCAGCGACGCCGCGUGAGGGAUGAAGGCCUUCGGGUGUAAACCUCUUCUAGCAGGACGAAGCGAAAGUGACGGUACCUGCAGAAGAAGCACCGGCUAACUACGUGCCAGCAGCCGCGGUAAU
This 480-nucleotide ribosomal RNA is filed under the name uncultured bacterium. Its description in RNAcentral is "bacterial SSU rRNA". It matches the Rfam family "Bacterial small subunit ribosomal RNA", at positions 28 to 524 of the family's 1533-position model. The record is from RNAcentral.